GAUGAACGCUGGCGGCGUGCCUAAUACAUGCAAGUCGAGCGAACAGACGAGGAGCUUGCUCCUCUGACGUUAGCGGCGGACGGGUGAGUAACACGUGGAUAACCUACCUAUAAGACUGGGAUAACUUCGGGAAACCGGAGCUAAUACCGGAUAAUAUAUUGAACCGCAUGGUUCAAUAGUGAAAGACGGUUUUGCUGUCACUUAUAGAUGGAUCCGCGCCGCAUUAGCUAGUUGGUAAGGUAACGGCUUACCAAGGCAACGAUGCGUAGCCGACCUGAGAGGGUGAUCGGCCACACGGGACCUGAGACACGGUCCAGACUCCUACGGGAGGCAGCAGUAGGGAAUCUUCCGCAAUGGGCGAAAGCCUGACGGAGCAACGCCGCGUGAGUGAUGAAGGUCUUCGGAUCGUAAAACUCUGUUAUUAGGGAAGAACAAAUGUGUAAGUAACUAUGCACGUCUUGACGGUACCUAAUCAGAAAGCCACGGCUAACUACGUG
Molecule: ribosomal RNA, 497 nt
Filed under: uncultured bacterium
Lineage: Bacteria
Description: partial 16S ribosomal RNA
Rfam family: Bacterial small subunit ribosomal RNA
Source: RNAcentral